Molecule: ribosomal RNA, 301 nt
Filed under: uncultured bacterium
Lineage: Bacteria
Description: partial 16S ribosomal RNA
Rfam family: Bacterial small subunit ribosomal RNA
Source: RNAcentral
CAGUAGCCGCGGUAAUACGGAGGGUGCGAGCGUUAACCGGAAUAACUGGGCGUAAAGGGAGCGCAGGCGGUUUAGUAAGUCUGGAGUUAAAGGCAUUGGCUCAACCAAUGUAUGCUUUGGAAACUGUUUGACUUGAGUGCAGAAGGGGAGAGUGGAAUUCCAUGUGUAGCGGUGAAAUGCGUAGAUAUAUGGAGGAACACCGGUGGCGAAAGCGGCUCUCUGGUCUGUCACUGACGCUGAGGCUCGAAAGCGUGGGUAGCGAGCAGGAUUAGAUACCCCAGUAGUCCCUGUCUCUUAUACA